This 270-nucleotide ribosomal RNA is filed under the name uncultured Sphingobacteriales bacterium. RNAcentral describes it as "partial 16S ribosomal RNA". It matches the Rfam family "Bacterial small subunit ribosomal RNA", at positions 1114 to 1382 of the family's 1533-position model. The record is from RNAcentral. Lineage: Bacteria; Pseudomonadati; Bacteroidota; Sphingobacteriia; Sphingobacteriales.
GUUGCCAUCAGGUUAAGCUGGGGACGUCUAAAGGAACUGCCUACGCAAGUAGUGAGGAAGGCGGGGAUGACGUCAAAUCAGCACGGCCCUUACGUCCAGGGCUACACACGUGCUACAAUGGCCGAUACAGAGGGCAGCUACCUGGUGACAGGAUGCAAAUCUCCAAAGUCGGUCUCAGUUCGGAUCGGAGUCUGCAACCCGACUCCGUGAAGUUGGAUUCGCUAGUAAUCGCGCAUCAGCCAUGGCGCGGUGAAUACGUUCCCGGGCCUU